Molecule: microRNA precursor, 84 nt
Filed under: Bombyx mori (domestic silkworm)
Lineage: Eukaryota; Metazoa; Arthropoda; Insecta; Lepidoptera; Bombycidae
Description: mir-2807 microRNA precursor family
Rfam family: mir-2807 microRNA precursor family
Source: Rfam by way of RNAcentral
UUUACUCUAAUCUGUAUGGGGUUGAAACGUUUACCUACGUUUGCCGCUAGAGGCGCUGUUUUAGCUGCAUACAAAUUUGAGUUA